RNAcentral lists this ribosomal RNA (496 nucleotides) under uncultured bacterium. RNAcentral's name for it is "partial 16S ribosomal RNA". It matches the Rfam family "Bacterial small subunit ribosomal RNA", at positions 28 to 507 of the family's 1533-position model. The record is from RNAcentral.
GAUGAACGCUGGCGGCGUGCCUAAUACAUGCAAGUCGAGCGAACAGAUAAGGAGCUUGCUCCUUUGACGUUAGCGGCGGACGGGUGAGUAACACGUGGGUAACCUACCUAUAAGACUGGAAUAACUCCGGGAAACCGGGGCUAAUGCCGGAUAACAUUUAGAACCGCAUGGUUCUAAGUGAAAGAUAGUUUUGCUAUCACUUAUAGAUGGACCCGCGCCGUAUUAGCUAGUUGGUAAGGUAACGGCUUACCAAGGCAACGAUACGUAGCCGACCUGAGAGGGUGAUCGGCCACACUGGAACUGAGACACGGUCCAGACUCCUACGGGAGGCAGCAGUAGGGAAUCUUCCGCAAUGGGCGAAAGCCUGACGGAGCAACGCCGCGUGAGUGAUGAAGGUCUUCGGAUCGUAAAACUCUGUUAUUAGGGAAGAACAAAUGUGUAAGUAACUGUGCACGUCUUGACGGUACCUAAUCAGAAAGCCACGGCUAACUACGUG